AGUCACUGACAUUAGAUACCCCCGUAGUCCAGGGUGUAAACGCUGCAGACUUGGUGUUGGAAGCCCUUUGGGGGCAUUCAGUGCCGGAGAGAAGUUGUUAAGUCUGCUACUUGGGGAGUACGUCCGCAAGGAUGAAACUUAAAGGAAUUGGCGGGGGAGCACCGCAACGGGAGGAGCGUGCGGUUUAAUUGGAUUCAACACCGUAAAACUCACCAGGGAAGACUGUUACAUGAAGGCCGAGAUGAAGACUCUGCUAGAUUUUUCAG
This 266-nucleotide ribosomal RNA is filed under the name uncultured archaeon. RNAcentral describes it as "partial 16S ribosomal RNA". It matches the Rfam family "Archaeal small subunit ribosomal RNA", at positions 718 to 982 of the family's 1478-position model. The record is from RNAcentral.